Molecule: long non-coding RNA, 249 nt
Filed under: Elaeis guineensis (African oil palm)
Lineage: Eukaryota; Viridiplantae; Streptophyta; Magnoliopsida; Arecales; Arecaceae
Description: long non-coding RNA (EGUI_LNC068690)
Source: RNAcentral
UUUUUUUUAAAUAAUCGUGCCUAGAUCCCCAGCAAUGGUGCCAAAAUUUGAUCGCUGUCGUAGGCGGUCAAGAAUAAAAAUCAACUCAAAUUAUAUAGAUAGGAUGAGUAGGGAUCGUUUCCAUGGAGAUCUAGGGCGAUUAUCUUUUUUUUUUUUUAGAAGAGAUAAAAAGUGAAUUGAUUGCAGAAGGAUUAACAAAAAAUAGAAUAGUAAAAAAAAUCAACAGUGUAAAUUAAAUUAUGAAAGAAA